AAAAGAUACUUUCAAAUCUGUGGGGGGAAGGUUUUUGUUUUUGAGUUCCUUAGUUCUCUCCCAGUCAGCGAGGAGCCAGGGCAGGAAAAAUACAUCUCCCUAAGCCUUAUCUGAACUAAGCAUCUAAUAUUACAGAAAUAGUAAGUAAUAGCAAGAAAAUGCGUUAGAUUAUCUUUUGUUUUAGCUUGUGAAUUCUUCCUGUGCUAAAAGGAAGGUUUAUCCCUGUUUUUGUAACUUUAAAGUUUUGCCUACAGAGAAAAUCCUCUGUCUUUAAAAUCUUUCUGUUACCCUAUAAAGUUAUCUUCCAUCCUAAUUUUACAAAGGUGAUUCUUUUAUCUUUUUUUAAAUAAACUUCUUUUAAUACCCUGAUUGUUUUUCAGUGUCCUAAAAACCCAGGCGGGUUGAUCUGUGCUCACUUUGUAAUCAAUUGGUUAGGAUAGGAAGGAAUUUGUGCCUUGGAAAAGUUUUGUUACCUGUAGUAGCAAAUUUGUGCCUUGGAAAAGUUUUUAACCUGGUAGAAAUAAGCUUAGGGGGUCUUUCAUGUGGGUCUCCACAUCUGUUCCCUAGAGUUUAGAGUGGGGAGGAAACCCUGACAGGGUGUAUUACUAUUAACUUCAGUGUGAGCAGAGUUAAGAGCACCGACUGGAAAAUCCCACUGCACGAGUACUAAUACCCCGCUCCAAACUUUCAAAACUUAGAAAAUUUUGUGCCGAUAGAAAGAUCUUCAGGCAGUGAGAACAUGCUGCAGUAACAGCCACAUGCUAGAGCAUACCCUGAAUGAUUCAUUGUUUGCCAUCAUGUUGACUCUACAUGGUAACUGUUUUCCAGAAAGCCAUGACCGCACUGGAUCUGGAAAUAAGUUUGCCAGUGUUCUGGAGAAAAUGGCUCCAAAGAAAAAAAAAUUGGCCCAGUACACUAAUUGGAUAUACCUGAUAAAAAGGAAGGUUCAAGGAGAGAUGUGGUGGGAAAAAGGGAACCUGAAGAAAGCAACACAUCAGUAGAUUAAUCUGAUGUCUGAAGAGAUGUUGGUUUCUUCAGUUCUUGUUGUAUGUAUAUACUCUUGUACUGCAAGUCAGAUUCCUUCUGCUUUUGCUUUGAACUGUAAAGUGGAAAGUUGCAAGUAAAUAUACUAUUUACUUCUCAAAGUAGAUAUAGAUAUUUAUACUCUUCUUUUCUCUUGCAAAUUGUAUUAUGUCAGCACAGAUAAAUAGGAACCUGACUAACUGUUGUGCAAACCAUAUCCUCCUAUAUUUUAUAUCUAUAUUAGCGUAAUGCACGUUAAUUUUUGGUGAGUGAUUGUUUCUCAGGGGAGUUGAUGAUAGAUUCCAUCCAAUAACCAAAACACAAUGAAUGCCGUAAUUUUGGACAUUAUAACAAUUAAGAUAAAAUCUAUUUAUCAGUAAAACCAUAUUUCUAUAUCAGUGCUACAGACCAUGUGAUGACUGAAAACUUAUAUCGAGCAACCUGAGUAGCUGUGUUAGUAGCUGUGACAGUCUCUCUCCCAGGCAAGCCCCACAGGAGAAGGAUGCUAUGGGGCAUUUCACCAAGCAGUUGAGCCUCCAAAAGAUCAGUUAGGAUUAGAGAUGGGGAGCAAGCAGUGAAAUCCUACAGAGAGUUUUCUGUGUGUUGUUUGGGGCCAGCUAGGAAGCCUCAGUGUCUAGGCUGUUUGUAGUUUUUCCACUGGGAGGUGAGGAAGUUUUUCUUCUUGUGGGCAAAAAUACUCAGUUUAUUUCCUGCUUUUAACCAGAAUGUGUGAAGUACUGUACAAAGCUCAAGAGAGAGCCUUCUAGUGUGGUUGAUUGGAGGUAGAUAUCUAACCAGUAAUGACCAAUUUAUGGAAACAUGGUCUUAACUAACAAGCUGUUUACUUAGCAUAUUUAAGGAAUCAUUACAUACAGUAACUUCCUCAGCCCUUUUGCCAUAAUGCUCUGUUCUCAUAAAGAGCUCCAAGUCCAUUGUCUGUGAACAUAGACAAUACACUUAAAAACAAUUAUAAUUAACCUUCUUCUUAAGAACAAUUAUAUUCAACAACAAACAAAAAAAACUAAACAGACUUCCUUGCCCCAGAGUCGUCAGGCUCAUAAUCAUGUUCCAAAAUGGGUUUUAACUUGGCUUCUUCUGGUUGUUUCUGUGCCUCCUCUCGCCUGCUCCCAUCUCUCAAAAGUGGAACCAAGGUCUUCCAGUUUUUCCCUGAAACUUAUAAGCAAAGUGGCUAUUAAUGUUUUUUUCCUAUAGAAACAGACCAGAAUAUUCCUGGUUUCCAACACAGAGGAAAGCUGAUAUGAUAUAAAGCACAAGUGAAGAUUUUAUUCUUUUAAGAGUUUUAUUCUUCUGUCAGUUUUCCAUUCUUUUAAGCUGACAAGUACACCCACUGAUCUAUGAACUGGGGCUCUUCUGUGCUGACUAGUGAGCUACUGCACUGUGGGGUUGGGGCAUGACAGGGUGACUCCUGUGGUACACUGCUGCCAAGGUGUGCCGGUCAUUACCAUAGAAACAUCCAGAGUGAGGAACUGGAGGGAGCUAGAGAAUUCCAAAGAAUAAAACUGCAAAAUGAAUAAAGGGUUAGUUCA
Molecule: long non-coding RNA, 2570 nt
Filed under: Gopherus agassizii (Agassiz's desert tortoise)
Lineage: Eukaryota; Metazoa; Chordata; Testudines; Testudinidae
Description: lncRNA (ENSGAGG00000003579.1)
Source: RNAcentral